This 372-nucleotide ribosomal RNA is filed under the name uncultured organism. RNAcentral describes it as "bacterial SSU rRNA". It matches the Rfam family "Bacterial small subunit ribosomal RNA", at positions 526 to 896 of the family's 1533-position model. The record is from RNAcentral.
CGGGGGGGGCAAGCGUUGUUCGGAAUUACUGGGCGUAAAGGGCGCGUAGGCGGUGCUCUAAGUCGGAUGUGAAAACUCUGGGCUCAACCCAGAGCCUGCAUCCGAAACUGGAGUGCUAGAGUUCUGGAGGGGGUAGCGGAAUUCCUGGUGUAGCGGUGAAAUGCGUAGAUAUCAGGAGGAACACCGGUGGCGAAGGCGGCUACCUGGACAGAAACUGACGCUGAGGCGCGAAAGCUAGGGGAGCAAACAGGAUUAGAUACCCUGGUAGUCCUAGCCCUAAACGAUGGAUACUUGGUGUGACUGGGAUUGAAUCCAGUCGUGCCGAAGCUAACGCAUUAAGUAUCCCGCCUGGGGAGUACGGUCGCAAGGCUG